This 224-nucleotide long non-coding RNA is filed under the name Panax ginseng (ginseng). RNAcentral describes it as "long non-coding RNA (PGIN_LNC010329)". The record is from RNAcentral. Lineage: Eukaryota; Viridiplantae; Streptophyta; Magnoliopsida; Apiales; Araliaceae.
AAAGCUGUAGCUGAGCACAUCCAGUCUGGAAGUUAUGGAAACAACCCCCGGAAGGUCCAUAAGAAGAAAGAGGAAGAUGUUUCCUUGAUACUACAAGGGAAAAAAGGCAGUCAAAACCUGCUUAUUCAGAGGAGAAACUACUCUCCUUUUCCAGCUCAGUCUUUAAACCCGCCAUUGCCAAAAGGUGGAGAAGUCAGACGCACUCGAGUGUUCACACCCUUAGG